GAGAUAACACCAGCAUCCUUCCAGUUUACUACCGAGCAAUGGUCUUUGGCCUAUCUGUGUUGCAGAAGUACUAAUCAAGCUGUAAUGGAUGAGUGUCAAAUACCAUCUUCUCUUUUGUCUACCAAGCGGUAAAGGAUGACUGAUGGGGACAUCACCAUUUCCUAGAAAGGAGGGUAGAGAAAGAGUCCUACUUGAAUGGGGUUUUGACGUUCAAUUUGGUCCAACUGUAAGCAGUGGACUUAUUUGCAGUUUUACACACACAGGAGUAAGCUGGUUGCCUUGGCUCUGGUAUGGUUAUGUCGUCGCUGCCAAGCAUUGCAACAAUAUCAGACAUAGUGGGACGGUCUACCGCUUUCACUUGGACACACAUCAGUGCCAACGUGCGAAGUUGUCCGUGGCAUCUGCAAUUUGUGAGAAAUCAUACAAGGCGAACUCAGAACCGGUAUCUUCCAUCUUCCAAAGCCUCAGGAUUUCAUCUAUGUUCUUGGGCUGCUCCGUGGAGUUUAUUUUCCCUGAAUGUACAUCUCUCCAUCAGUUUUACAGGAAACUGGAUUAACUGGUAGUGGUCUAGCUGCCACUAUCAUCAUUAAAGCAUGUAACAUUAUUGAAUGGCUUACCUUUUUUUCUUCGCCUUAUGAUGUAUAGGACACAGAAAAGCAAACGCGUACUGAGGAUCAGGAGGGAGUACACUGUACCAAUGAUCAAUAGUGCAUGGCCCUUGUGUUGCCCUGAAUAUUGUAAGAGAGAUGAUUCAUAUGUCAAAAGAAAGUAUAGGCUUACUAAGUGGAAUAUUAUCUGUUGGCCAAAAGAUCAAGGGGGACUUGGAAUUGAAGUUCUUGAUAUUAAAAAUAGGUGCCUUCUAAGUAAAUGGUUGUUUAAGCUUAUGAAUGAAGAAGGAGUGUGGCAAGAGCUUCGACAAAAUAAAUAUCUCCAUUCUAAUA
This is a long non-coding RNA of Lolium perenne, 941 nucleotides long. RefSeq lists it as uncharacterized. Lineage: Eukaryota; Viridiplantae; Streptophyta; Magnoliopsida; Poales; Poaceae. The record is from RefSeq and is a predicted model, not a curated record.